GCAAACGCUAUGAAGAAAAGAGUAAGCUGAAUGCGCUUUUUACAGAGAAUUCCCGAACGCUGAGAGGGAUGAAGGCAAAGCAGCUGAAGAUGGUUUCUGAGCGGCACGGAUGAACGCAGGACAUAAAAAUUCUGCGAUAAGACGUGACAGGGCCGCCUGUUACAGCGGAAGGGUAUAAGGAUGCAGGAAAGACGCAGCAGACACCGGCGGCAGCGCCGGGCAGCAGGCAGGAUUUUGACGGCGGUGCAGCUCCUGGCGUUCCGUACCCGCAGAGGCCGGUUCCCGUGAGGGGCAGGCGAAUGGAAGUGGUAACACGGGAAUAUCCCGUCUUCUUU
This 335-nucleotide non-coding RNA is filed under the name Lachnoclostridium sp. RNAcentral describes it as "T-box sequence". It matches the Rfam family "T-box leader". Rfam says of the family: Uncharged tRNA acts as the effector for transcription antitermination of genes in the T-box leader family. The record is from RNAcentral. Lineage: Bacteria; Bacillati; Bacillota; Clostridia; Lachnospirales; Lachnospiraceae.